This 513-nucleotide ribosomal RNA is filed under the name uncultured bacterium. RNAcentral's name for it is "partial 16S ribosomal RNA". It matches the Rfam family "Bacterial small subunit ribosomal RNA", at positions 355 to 860 of the family's 1533-position model. The record is from RNAcentral.
UAGGGAAUCUUCCACAAUGGACGCAAGUCUGAUGGAGCAACGCCGCGUGAGUGAAGAAGGCUUUCGGGUCGUAAAACUCUGUUAUUGAAGAAGAACGUGUGUGACAGUAACUGGUCAUGCAGUGACGGUAUUCAAUCAGAAAGUCACGGCUAACUACGUGCCAGCAGCCGCGGUAAUACGUAGGUGGCAAGCGUUGUCCGGAUUUAUUGGGCGUAAAGCGAGUGCAGGCGGUCUUUUAAGUCUGAUGUGAAAGCCUUCGGCUUAACCGAAGAAGGGCAUCGGAAACUGGGAGACUUGAGUGCAGAAGAGGAGAGUGGAACUCCAUGUAUAGCGGUGAAAUGCGUAGAUAUAUGGAAGAACACCAGUGGCGAAGGCGGCUCUCUGGUCUGUAACUGACGCUGAGGCUCGAAAGCGUGGGUAGCAAACAGGAUUAGAUACCCUGGUAGUCCACGCUGUAAACGAUGAAUACUAAGUGUUGGAGGGUUUCCGCCUUCAGUGCUGCAGCUAACGCAU